RNAcentral lists this ribosomal RNA (491 nucleotides) under uncultured bacterium. Its description in RNAcentral is "partial 16S ribosomal RNA". It matches the Rfam family "Bacterial small subunit ribosomal RNA", at positions 29 to 506 of the family's 1533-position model. The record is from RNAcentral.
AGUGAACGCUGGCGGUAGGCCUAACACAUGCAAGUCGAACGGCAGCACAGUAAGAGCUUGCUCUUACGGGUGGCGAGUGGCGGACGGGUGAGGAAUACAUCGGAAUCUACUUUUUCGUGGGGGAUAACGUAGGGAAACUUACGCUAAUACCGCAUACGACCUACGGGUGAAAGCAGGGGAUCUUCGGACCUUGCGCGAUUGAAUGAGCCGAUGUCGGAUUAGCUAGUUGGCGGGGUAAAGGCCCACCAAGGCGACGAUCCGUAGCUGGUCCGAGAGGAUGAUCAGCCACACUGAAACUGAGACACGGUCCAGACUCCUACGGGAGGCAGCAGUGGGGAAUAUUGGACAAUGGGCGCAAGCCUGAUCCAGCCAUACCGCGUGGGUGAAGAAGGCCUUCGGGUUGUAAAGCCCUUUUGUUGGGAAAGAAAAGCAGCAGGUUAAUACCCCGCUGUUCUGACGGUACCCAAAGAAUAAGCACCGGCUAACUUCGU